AUUGAACGCUGGCGGCAGGCCUAACACAUGCAAGUCGAACGAGUGGCGGACGGGUGAGUAAUGUCUGGGAAACUGCCCGAUGGAGGGGGAUAACUACUGGAAACGGUAGCUAAUACCGCGUACCAUCCGAUGUGCCCAGAUGGGAUUAGCUUGUAGGUGAGGUAACGGCUCACCUAGGCGGCGAUCCCUAACUGGUCUGAGAGGAUGACCAGCAACACUGGAACUGGGCCACGGUCCAGACUCCUACGGCAGGCAGCAGUGAGGAAUAUUGCACAAUGGGCGAAAGCCUGAUGCAGCCAUGCCGCGUGUAUGAAGAAGGUCUUCGGAUUGUAAAGCACUUUAAGUUGGGAGGCGUUACCAACAGAAUAAGCACCGGCUAACUUCGUGCCAGCCGCCGCGGUAAUAC
Molecule: ribosomal RNA, 406 nt
Filed under: uncultured bacterium
Lineage: Bacteria
Description: partial 16S ribosomal RNA
Rfam family: Bacterial small subunit ribosomal RNA
Source: RNAcentral